CAGGGACAAAUACAUACAGCUCCCGUGCUCUCGGGACCUGGAUUGUGAAGCAAGACAUGGCACGUCCGUGCGGGUUUCUCACUCCGUCCCCUCCCAGAGUCCCCGCCGGCCCCGAGGCUGCUGGGAACCAGCCUGCACACGUCUGCACGUUUUUGUGCGUGUGUGUAUUUUCAUAACAUGCAAAGCAUGGUCUGCAGAUCUUUCGGUGUUUGUGGAUGACGUAAAUUGUGCAGCUCCUUCUGCACCGAGUCAUCGCACAUCUUGGCUGAAGUUCGUCCACACCCGCGUGGAGAGCUCUGCAGAGUAUGCUGUCACACUUCUAACCCAUUUCAGGGUCCCCACCGUCACGUGUUAAUCCGCGCUCUUGCGGAGGGCAGCGGAGUUAUUCCCAGUUUCCCACCGUGCAAACCACACUGCGGUGGACACCGGUGUGUCUGAAGGCCUGGCCGCUUUCUGCGGCUCCACAUCCCGCCUCGGGCUGGCAAUUGCCAGGCUUUGGAACUUCUGCCACUCUGAGAGGCGCCCAAUGCGUGUCCUUCGCCUGUUUAAUGUGCGCGUCUCCGGGCAGUGACGCCGAAGCGUCUCAUCCCUGGACCGAGGCUCGGCUUUCCUUCGCGGCAAGGUCCCGGGACAUCUUCUCAGGAUCCGUGAGCAUUUCGGAGGCGUCUGUACGUCCCUCGGGUCCCAGAAACCUUGGAGAAACAAGAGGAUGCAGGAAAGGGCUGGGAGCCUGGAUGCAGGUCUUGCCUCUGCCUCCGAGUGGCUGGGUCACCUGGACUUUUCCGUCUCGUCUGCUUUCAUUUCCCCAUCAAUAAAACAGGGAUCAAAAUGCCUUCCUCGCAGCCUGUUUUGAAGGCACAAUGAGACAGUGACUGUGAAAAUUCAGCUUUCACAAGUGUGCUCAGCCUUCUCAUUUUGCAAAGGAGGGAGAGAGGCCUGAGGAGUGAAACCUUUCCAGCAUCAGCUCUCGGCAGAGCGGGGCCGGGAACCUGGGCUCCUGACCCCAUCUGGCGCUUCCCCCACGGCCCUGGCACCCAGGCCACAAGCGGUAACGGUGGGAUUCUAAUUCAGGAAAGUGUAGUAAUAACGGCUCAGGUGGGGCCUGCCACUAUUUGGGCAAACAUGCUACCUUUAUUUUUAUUUGUUAAAGAGAUUAAAUUAAGGAAGUUAAAUAAAUGAGCACAUUAACUCCCCCCCCA
RNAcentral lists this long non-coding RNA (1199 nucleotides) under Sus scrofa (pig). RNAcentral's name for it is "lncRNA (ENSSSCG00070002237.1)". Lineage: Eukaryota; Metazoa; Chordata; Mammalia; Artiodactyla; Suidae. The record is from RNAcentral.